GUCGUGACUGCGUGCCUUUUGAAGAAUGAGCCUGCGAGUUAGCGGUGUGUAGCGAGGUUAACCCGUGUGGGGAAGCCGUAGCGAAAGCGAGUCCGAAUAGGGCGAUUGAGUUGCACGCUCUAGACCCGAAGCGGAGUGAUCUAGCCAUGGGCAGGUUGAAGCGGAGGUAAGACUUCGUGGAGGACCGAACCCACCAGGGUUGAAAACCUGGGGGAUGACCUGUGGUUAGGGGUGAAAGGCCAAUCAAACUCCGUGAUAGCUGGUUCUCCCCGAAAUGCAUUUAGGUGCAGCGUCGUGUGUUUCUUGCCGGAGGUAGAGCACUGGAUAGGCGAUGGGCCCUACCGGGUUACUGACCUUAGCCAAACUCCGAAUGCCGGUAAGUGAGAGCACGGCAGUGAGACUGUGGGGGAUAAGCUCCAUGGUCGAGAGGGAAACAGCCCAGAGCAUCGACUAAGGCCCCUAAGCGUACGCUAAGUGGGAAAGGAUGUGGAGUCGCAGAGACAACCAGGAGGUUGGCUUAGAAGCAGCCACCCUUGAAAGAGUGCGUAAUAGCUCACUGGUCAAGUGAUUCCGCGCCGACAAUGUAGCGGGGCUCAAGCGUACCGCCGAAGUCGUGUCAUUGCAGCAAUAGGGCCAACGCCCGCUGUGAUGGGUAGGGGAGCGUCGUGUGCCGGGUGAAGCAGCAGCGGAAGCUAGUUGUGGACGGUUCACGAGUGAGAAUGCAGGCAUGAGUAGCGAUACACACGUGAGAAACGUGUGCGCCGAUUGACUAAGGGUUCCUGGGUCAAGCUGAUCUGCCCAGGGUAAGUCGGGACCUAAGGCGAGGCCGACAGGCGUAGUCGAUGGACAACCGGUUGAUAUUCCGGUACCCGCUUUGAAACGCCCAAUAUCGAAUCCUCUAAUGCUAAGGCCGUGAAGCCGUUCCGGAGCCUUCGGGCAAAGGAAAGUGGUGGAGCCGCCGGCCCAAGGUGGUAGUAGGUAAGCGAUGGGGUGACGCAGGAAGGUAGUCCAGCCCGGGCGGUGGUUGUCCCGGGGUAAGGGUGUAGGCCGAGGGGUAGGCAAAUCCGUCCCUCAUAUAAGGCUGAGACCUGAUGCCGAGCCGAUUGUGGUGAAGUGGAUGAUCCUAUGCUGUCGAGAAAAGCCUCUAGCGAGUUUCAUGGCGGCCCGUACCCUAAACCGACUCAGGUGGUCAGGUAGAGAAUACCGAGGCGUUCGGGUGAACUAUGGUUAAGGAACUCGGCAAAAUGCCCCCGUAACUUCGGGAGAAGGGGGGCCAUCACUGGUGAGGGAACUUGCUUCCUGAGCUGGGGGUGGCCGCAGAGACCAGCGAGAAGCGACUGUUUACUAAAAACACAGGUCCGUGCGAAGCCGUAAGGCGAUGUAUACGGACUGACGCCUGCCCGGUGCUGGAACGUUAAGGGGACCGGUUAGUGCGCUUUCGGGCGUGCGAAGCUGAGAACUUAAGCGCCAGUAAACGGCGGUGGUAACUAUAACCAUCCUAAGGUAGCGAAAUUCCUUGUCGGGUAAGUUCCGACCUGCACGAAUGGCGUAACGACUUCUCGACUGUCUCAACCAUAGGCCCGGUGAAAUUGCACUACGAGUAAAGAUGCUCGUUUCGCGCAGCAGGACGGAAAGACCCCGGGACCUUUACUACAGUUUGAUAUUGGUGUUCGGUUCGGCUUGUGUAGGAUAGGUGGGAGACUGUGAAAGCCAUACGCCAGUAUGGUGGGAGUCGUCGUUGAAAUACCACUCUGGUCGUGCUGGAUGUCUAACCUCGGUCCGUGAUCCGGAUCAGGGACAGUGUCUGAUGGGUAGUUUAACUGGGGCGGUUGCCUCCCAAAGGGUAACGGAGGCGCCCAAAGGUUCCCUCAGCCUGGUUGGCAAUCAGGUGUUGAGUGUAAGUGCACAAGGGAGCUUGACUGUGAGACCGACGGGUCGAGCAGGGACGAAAGUCGGGACUAGUGAUCCGGCGGUGGCUUGUGGAAGCGCCGUCGCUCAACGGAUAAAAGGUACCCCGGGGAUAACAGGCUGAUCUUCCCCAAGAGUCCAUAUCGACGGGAUGGUUUGGCACCUCGAUGUCGGCUCGUCGCAUCCUGGGGCUGGAGUCGGUCCCAAGGGUUGGGCUGUUCGCCCAUUAAAGCGGUACGCGAGCUGGGUUUAGAACGUCGUGAGACAGUUCGGUCCCUAUCCGCUGUGCGCGUAGGAAUAUUGAGAAGGGCUGUCCCUAGUACGAGAGGACCGGGACGGACGAACCUCUGGUGUGCCAGUUGUCCUGCCAAGGGCAUGGCUGGUUGGCUACGUUCGGGAGGGAUAACCGCUGAAAGCAUCUAAGCGGGAAGCCUGCUUCAAGAUGAGUAUUCCCACCUCCUUGAGAGGGUAAGGCUCCCAGUAGACGACUGGGUUGAUAGGCCAGAUGUGGAAGCCCGGUAACGGGUGAAGCUGACUGGUACUAAUAGGCCGAGGGCUUGUCCUC
Molecule: ribosomal RNA, 2473 nt
Filed under: Streptomyces sp. NRRL S-149
Lineage: Bacteria; Bacillati; Actinomycetota; Actinomycetes; Kitasatosporales; Streptomycetaceae
Description: bacterial LSU rRNA
Rfam family: Bacterial large subunit ribosomal RNA
Source: RNAcentral